CCGGUACUUAUACCGUAACAUCGCCAACGAAGAUUGACUGGUGAAAGCCCAAGUUAUCAAUUGUGAAGAAUUGAUUUCUUUUCAGGCAAGCCAGGUUGGCUUUUGUAUUCACCCUUUUUGCUGUUCCUAAUUGCAAAUCGACACCGUUUAAUGUCACUUUUUCCCGCAAUAAUUGUUUACUUUGUUUACGUUUCUUUGAUUUCCGAUCGGCCGAGAUAUUAAGGGAGAAAAGGGAUCGAUACCAUUGAUUGCCUUUCUCGUAGUGUUAAAUGAUGUUUAGGGACAUUUGACUCCUGCGACCAGAAAUCAUUGAAGCGAGAGAAAAUUUUAUGAACGACACGGCCACCCUGGGGUAAGUUUCGGGUAGAUUAAUUAUAUCAGACUGAUGUCGCAUUUGUCUUGUCUUUAAAAGCCAAACUUCAGGAAUUUAGCUUUUCUUUUUCUUUUGGUUGGCUUCGUAAUGACCAGGUUAUGGCUUUUGUUUUCUCAUUUGGAUGGGUGUAGAAUGGGACUUUGGCUUUUUAUCUUCUUUAAAUCAUAGGAGGAAUUACAACCGUGCUUCGUGGUCUGCUACCACAACAGCUCCUUUAUAGGAUCCAGUUAGCUCAAGACAUCAUCAGGAGGAACCACGUCUGGUUUCGGCCCCUACUCCUCCAACGUUUUGACGUGGCGGGGCCCCCCCUUUCGGAGGUGUCUUCAGCUCUGCUGUUGGGUGCAUGUCUUCUUUCUUCUUCUUUCUUCUGUUCCCUAGCCUCUUCGGUUUCGGCCCCUACUCCUCUACGUUUUGACGUGGCGGGGCCCACCCUUUCGGAGGUGUCUUCAUCUCUGGUGUUGGGUACACGUCUUCUUUCUUCUUCUUUCUUCUGUUCCCUGGCCUCUUCGAUGUUUCGUCAGCGAGUGUCAGCCGGUGACUGACUGUCUUGUCGAAUUUCUCCCUUUAAAUUCGACAAGACUUGUACCGUAUGAAGAACACUCCUUUCACUCAUCAUUUCGAACUGUGUAUAUAUGACCACAGACAUUUCCCCACUUCCAAACAGACUAAACACGCAGCUGCACACGUCGGCGCUGACGUGGUUGUGGUAAAAAUCUUGCUUCCCAACCACAUAGUUCUGCGUCCCACUGCGAGUUACCUUGGGUAUGUGUCUUCUACUAAUGAUCUGAGCCGACCAAAGCCUUGCGAGUGGAUUUAAUUAUAUAUAUAUAUAUAUAGGUGUGCAUGUGUUUAUGUAUACAUGUAGAUAGAUACAUAAAUAGAGAGAUAAAUAGAUAGAUAGAUGGAUAUAUCCAUCUAUUUACAGAUAAAUGAAUAAUUUUCUUUCUACGAAUAGCAGUGCUAUUUUGUUACAUAGCUGCACACAUGGUCGUGUAGUAAAACGCUUGUUUCCCAACCACACGGUUCUGCGUUCAGUCCCACUGCGUGUUACCUUGGGUAUGUGUCUUCUACUAAUGUUCUGAGCCGACCAAAGCCUUGUGAGUGGAUUUAAUUGACGGAAACUGAGAGAAGUUUAUCACAUGUUUACUUGAGUUUAAUAAAAACUCGUUUGAAACAGCAACCUUGUGAAGCAAUUACACCAGUCCCAGCAUUCCAGUUACUUUUGGAAUUUGGCCUGGAAGUCGUUUUCCGUAAGCGAGUCAAGGACCUUUUAUGAUUCACUCUGGAUCUCGGUAACAAAAUUAAAUCGACGACCUUUGAGCUGCAUUUUCAUCUUGGUGAAAAGAUGGAUGUCUGUAUGUGCUAAAUCUGGCGAAUAGGGUAAGGUGCAGACGCAACACCAUGUUGUUUUUAGCGAGAAGCACAUGAAUGAGGAGAGCUUGGUGACAGGGUGUAUUGUCGUCAUGAAGAAUUCAAUUCUUCUCGCUCCACAUACCCAACGUCCACCCGGAAAUGCUUCAAAACAUCGCAGUAGAGCUCUCGACUGACAGACCUCCAGGGACGUUCCUCCGUUUUUGAAGCACCCUUGCCACCCGAAACAUUGGUGCAUGUCACUUUGCCUCGUUGUCCUAAACUUGCUGAAGCAUGUUCAAUGUCUGUGUGGCAGACUUCCCAAGUUUAGCGCAAAAUUUCACGUUGGCUCUGUGUUCCUGUCCAAGCUACAGCAUACUCCAACGUCUGGCAGCUGACUUGGCAGACACCCAUAAAAUUAUCAACCAUCUUACAAACAAUAACUCUGAGCACCUUUUCAAACUCCACCCGUCUAACACCCGUGGACAUGUUUACAAAGUCAGAAAACAGCACAGCUCCUUCCAUGACUUCAGGAAACAUUUUUUCACGCUGAGAGUUGCUGAAGCAUGGAACAAACUGCGGGCAUCGGUUGUUAGUUGUCGGAGCACUGCAUCCUUCAAAACUUCCAUGCUUUCUGAGAUUCGCCAACACUACACCUGAUUUUCUCCCCUCCAUACACAUGCAAGCAUCUAUCUGACUCAUACACUGUUCGCUUCCCAGACAUUUGUACAUUACUGCAUAUGCUUUAUAUGCACUUUUGACAAGUUGUGGUGCACCUGAGCACUGUAUACAAUAAUUUCAUUAUUAUUAUUAUACACGUGAUCACAAAAACCCAAGUUUCACAACUUGCGAAGUAAACACAUGAUUCUUUGUUCCCCAUAAAGGGUUUGCAUAGAGGGGACAGCACAACAUGAUUUUGGUGUCAUUUGAUACAAAAUGAUGAUUAAAAAUUUAUAAAUUUAUAUAGGCGCAGGAGUGGCUGUGUGGUAAGUAGCUUGCUUACCAACCACAUGGUUCCGGGUUCAGUCCCACUGCGUGGCAUCUUGGGCAAGUGUCUUCUGCUAUAGCCCCAGGCUGACCAAUACCUUGUGAGUGGAUUUGGUAGAUGGAAACUGAAAGAAGCCCAUCGUGUGUGUAUAUAUAUAUAUAUAUGUAUAGGCGCAGGAGUGGCUGUGUGGUAAGUAGCUUGCUUACCAACCACAUGGUUCAGGGUUCAGUCCCACUGCGUGGCAUCUUGAGCAAGUGUCUUCUGCUAUAGCCCCAGGCCAACCAAUGCCUUGUGAGUGGAUUUGGUAGAUGGAAACUGAAAGAAGCCUGUCGUAUAUAUAUAUAUAUAUAUAUGUAUGUGUGUGUGUGUAUAUGUUUGUGUGUCUGUGUUUGUCCCCCUAGCAUUGCUUGACAACCGAUGCUGGUGUGUUUACAUCCCCGUCACUUAGUGGUUCGGCAAAAGAGACCGAUAGAAUAAGUACUAGGCUUACAAAGUAUAAGUCCCGGGGUCGAUUUGCGUGGCAUCUUGGGCAAGUGUCUUCUGCUAUAGCCUCCGGCCGACCAAAGCCUUGUGAGUGGAUUUGGUAGAUGGAAACUGAAAGAAGCCUGUCGUAUAUAUGUAUGUGUGUGUAUAUGUUUGUGUGUCUGUGUUUGUCCCUCUAGCGUUGCUUGACAACCGAUGCUGGUGUGUUUACGUCCCCGUUAACUUAGCGGUUCGGCAAAAGAGACCGAUAGAAUAAGUACUGGGCUUACAAAGAAUAAGUCCCGGGGUCGAUUUGCUCGACUAAAGGCGGUGCUCCAGCAUGGCCGCAGUCAAAUGACUGAAACAAGUAUAAGAGAGUAUUAUUUAUAUUAGCUUCACAACACAUAUUUUAAACUUUUCUACCACAUGUGGUUUACAAUCCAACGUAUGUAUGUUUAUGUGUGUGUUUAUGAAUCCACACAUUACCGCUUUCCAACAUAUAUCUUAUGCAAUCAUAUAUUUUCUUCCUUUACAGAUGUGUUCAGCGUACCAUUACAACCAACCAGUCAAAGAUACCGAUUCCACCAGGACGUCUGCUGCCAGUCAGUUACAGAUGUUGGCUCUCUCACAUUGCUUUCAUUGUAGAUAACUUCAGCUAACUCUAUUCAUAAUUAUUAACAUAGAUAUACAAGUCGUUUUGUCUACAACAUGUGUGCCACUUGGAGACGUCCCAGCCUGUAAUAGAUAUUCUAGUGUUACAUAGAAAAGAUAUAU
This 3947-nucleotide long non-coding RNA is filed under the name Octopus vulgaris (common octopus). Lineage: Eukaryota; Metazoa; Mollusca; Cephalopoda; Octopoda; Octopodidae. The record is from RNAcentral.